Molecule: long non-coding RNA, 5256 nt
Organism: Lepidothrix coronata (blue-crowned manakin)
Lineage: Eukaryota; Metazoa; Chordata; Aves; Passeriformes; Pipridae
Exons: 6
Source: RefSeq, a predicted model, not a curated record
UCCCCCGCACGCCCGGCCGCCCUCGCUCGAGCCGCUGCCACCUCCCAGCCCAUUCCACGGGACUGGAAAUCCUUUCCUAUCCUUCUGGAGAAUCCUUCCCCACCUCCAAUCCAAUCCGAGUUCUUCAGGGGAUCAGGAAGAGCGAUGAACUUUUCCACCUGAUCUCCCCCCGCGGAUUCCCAGACACUCCUCAGGCACGCUCACGGCUCCCUCGGCCACCAGCAUUUCUGUCCUUUCCUCUACACGGCGGGGGGGGGGGAAACCCUGAGCCCUUCCAGCAUCCACGGCUUUGCCUGCAAGGGUUAAACCAGGGAAUGGAGCAGCGUCCUUUCUGUCGGAGACACGCCACCCUGAACGCGAAAUCAAACCUACUCACCGGCUGAAAUCGCAGGAGGCGAAGCGGCUGCGAGCAAAACGCGUCCCGGCUCCGAGCACAUAGUCCAUGGUCUGCGGCUUCAGGCUAGAGCAGGGCUGAGCAGGGCGGGGGGACUUGGGGAACCGGCAGCAGUUCUGUGUGUGAAACAACCCAUUUACACCGUGCGUGCCUGUCUGUGUGUGUGUGUGUAGGGCAGAGAGAGGCUCCAGACCCAAAACGGGGAAAGGAGGGGAGGAGGGAGGGAGGAGAGAGAAGGAGGAGGAGAGAGGGAAGCAAACCCGAAUAGCGAGAGGAGUUGCGGGGAGGAAUGGGAUUUGCUGGGGUUGAGGUGGGGUUUUUUUGGUGGUGAUGGAAGCGAUUCUCGAGGAAAGAAUAAUAAACCGCGGGAUCUCAGCAGCAGGCAGGAUGGAGAGGGGCUUUGCCCAGGCAGGCUCUCUGUAUGGAAAUCACGACCUGGCUCGGUGGAAAAAUCUCCCUUUUCUUCACAUAGUGCCUCUGGAAUGUGUGCGGAAUCUCAAGCUCUGUAAGCACCAGUUCACGGCCGUUUGCCAGUCUGGCAGUUUUAUGUUUCCAGAAUCUGUCACGAGAUAUUCGGAAAACCACAGAAACCCAAGAUUCCUCUGGCAUCACGUGGGACUGAUAAAACGGAAGACAAAGAGCCGUAGUGUGUGACUGGGGUAGGUCUCCAGCACCAGGGUGCACACAGGGAGAAGUGUCUUCAUAGCAGUGUUUGGUGCUGCAAAUGUUGGCAGGAUCCACUGGAGCUGUGUUUGGUCCUCUCUCUAACGAUGUCCUUAGGCUGAACUUGCUUUGCAGCUCCUUCACACCAAAGGCAGCUUAAAUCAGCCAAGGAGAAUUUUGAGUCCGACCAACCCCACCCUCCCAAUAGAAGAGAAGAGAUCGACUUCAUGAGUCUUUGGCUUCGCAAUGUGGUGUUUUCAUUUCAUAGCAUCCAGAGGUGCAGUGCACAUGGUCUGAUCUUUAUUUCACCGUGCUCUCUUUCCCUCCCUGCCACGCUCUUUCACCCGAAGAGCAGUACAACUUGGUUUCCUCAACUAGUAUAACCUCUGCUGGCCCUUUUCCACUUUAAAUCUAAUAAGAACAUUCUGAUGUUAUUCACUUCCUAGAAUUAUAGAAUCACAGAAUGGUUUGGUUAGAAGGGACAUUAAAGAUCAUCUCGUUCCAGCCCCCUAACACAAGCAGGGACACCUUCCACUAGACCAGGCUGUUGGUUUUUAACCUAAAGGUUAAAAAAAGUUACUUUAUAAUUACAACACAGAUCUGCAACAGUGGUCAACUCCAAGACCUAAUUGUGGCCACAGUUCACUUUUGGCUCUUAAAAAUCACCCUGAAGCAGAGUUAAAGGGUUGUAGAGGACUAUGGUGCUUUUUGUUCAAUGAUGUUAAUAAUCUAUGGCCUUAGAAUAUGAUAUCACAAAGUCUCAUCCUAGGGCAGAAUAAUGAAAUCACAAGCAAUGGAACGGGCCAGAAACUUAUAUCACUCCCCAAAAUGCUAAAUGCAAACUGGGACCCAAUCUGAACUGAGGAGCUGCACAUCUGAUGUGAGAGGGGAGGGGCACUUCAAGUCCUCCCGUCCUAAAAGCCUCGUGGCCCUGAAUUACAGGCCAUUAGAUUCCUUUGUCCUGUAAAUCUGCGUUAAAUAGCAGCGUGAUUCUGUGUCGGUAAACGCAGGUUUUAACAGCUUAUCCCAUAAUAUUUUGAUUUUUCUUUGCUUCAUCUAUUCAGCCUUUUCACCGUUUUUCUCCCAGGACCUGCUUAUGCUUCCCUUUAGCUACCGAAAAACGCAUGUAAUUUAUUAAGCCAGUUCGGUAGUUCUCUUAGUUUCCAGCAGACAAACCUAUUAUGCAAACAAUACUGUCACCUUCUCGCAGUGCCUUCUCCCGGCUGUAAUGAAUUCUCUGCAUGCUACUCUGCUGUAAAUUCUCCAUCUAAAAAUUCCACGCGCUGCGUGUUUUGUCAGGGGAAACUGUACUUGACUUUUGAAACAGUUGGGAGGAACAAAAUGAUAACCUACUAAAGUGCCUUGCCCUUAACUGAAAUUAUGGCAAGUAAUUAAAGUUAGAGCAGGAAGACUUAAACUUUGGACUGCUUAUGUUCUUAGCGUUUUUGCUUGGAUGAGGGUUUUUUUUUUUUAGGUGUCUGAUUUGAAUGUCAAAUUUGCAUAUUCAUCUAGAAAACAUAGGGAAUGCUUAAUUGCCUGUGUCCAGUGUUCCUAUUUUUCUUGGGAAACAAUGUUUCAUAUACUCGUGGGUUUCAUUUCUAGUUACUAUUUGCAUCCAUAAAUUGAACUGGGUGUCUAAACAAGUCCUGCAUUUGCUGAUUAUACAAACAAAUAUGCCAUAUUUAGAAUUUUGCUUUAUAAUCAUAUCAGAGAUACCUGGAAUUGCAGAACAGCCCGGGUUGGAAGGAAAAGGGAGCCUAGACGAGAUUAUCUAAUGCCCUGUUCACUCACAUAUUGAAACCCUCCAGCCAUGGGGCACUGCCAGGGAGGCAGCAGACUCCCCCAAGAAGUGUCAGCUCAGCAAACUGGCCCUUCUGUUCCCCAGGGAAGGAAUUCUCCUGCGACAAUAAUCCAGCCUCUUCUCUGUAUGGAAGCUGUUUUGACUCAGGGCACAGACCACUAACCUUGGUGACACCUCCAACCUUUAUGAACCAUUGUCCUCCUCUUGUUCCCACCCUCUUGCAGAGCCUUGUGCCUGUUAUCCAUGGGCACCUGGGAAUGUGGAGCAGUCCCAGAGGAGACACUGCCACUGCAGUGCUGUGGUGGGUCUGGCUGAGCUGGGGUUGGUUUCCCAUCUCGUCCCUCCCGGGGCUGUGCUUUGCAGUGGGAGCUGGAAAGGUGUUGAUAACACACCAGGGGAUGAGCAAGGUCCUGGGAGGGGACACAGCUGGGCCAGCUAUCCCCAAAGUGACCAAAGGGAUAUUCCAGACCAUAUGACAUCAGCUCAGAGGUAAAAGCCAAGGGAAGCAGGAAGAAUAUUGUUAUUUCCAACAUUUACCUUCCAGAGCAGCCACUCCAUGUGCCGAAGCCCUUCCUGGGAAGUGGCCAGACAUUUCUUGCUGAUGGGAAGCAGAGAACAAAAUGUUUGGGUUUUUUCUUUGCUUGUGUGCACACAAACUUUUGCUUUGGCAAACUACCCCAUCUCAACCUGGGAGUUGUUCUCUCUCCCCCACCUGGCUGAGAAGGGGACAGAAGCUGAGAAGGGGGACUGACAGAGUGGCUUAGUGAGCACCUGGUGUCCAGCCAAGGUCAAACCACCCCAGCUGGGCAGGAACUGUCACUAUUGCCCCCAAUCCCUUCAGUCACUGUAUUCAGCCAGGGAGAGAGAGAGAGGAUGUGGAAUCCUGCAAACCAUGUGUCCCAUCUGCAUGGUGGGCCUGUCCCAGGGAAAGGCAGGCUGUGAUUCCAGUAGCUGCUCUCUCUCUCAUACUACCUGAUACUCCUCAGCCUGCUCCCCUCCUCCCAGAGCUCCCAGGUUCCCCCACACCAGGACACUCUCCCCAUGCCUUGUACUGCACUAGAGCACUUGGCUGUGGACCUGGUGGCCCUGGCUCUGCUCACUUCAGUGACCAUGAUGAAUUCCCCCCCCCUCUUCUCCAAGGAGGGAACACCUAAUUCCUUCAGUGCUUCCUCACAGGGCAGGUACUCCAGCCCUUUGAUCACCUUCCUGACCUUCCUUUGGACCCUCUCUUGUCCUUCUGCUUCUUUCUUGAACUGUGGGGACACGAACUGGACACGGUGCUCCAAGUUCCUUCCACAGGCUCUAGUGGAAGGUGUCCCUGCCCAUGGCAAGGGGGUUGGAACCAGAUGGUCUUUAAGGUCCCUUCCAACCCAAACCAUUCUGUGACUGGAGGUGCAGCAUGACAGGUGAUGAGUAGGAUGGGAAGAUCCCACUCUGUCCCCACAGAUGCAGCCCAGGACCCCAUCUGCCUUUUAGCCACAGCAGGCACUGCUGACUCAUGAUCACUCCUUGUCCACCAACAUAUUUCGACCUAUACAUUUCUGCUUUAGCAGAGAUAUGAUUCACUGCAAUAAAAUUAUAUCCUCUGAGUUUUUCCUCACUUGCAGAGGAGAUUAUUUUUAGGAACUCCCAGCAUUUCGCUUACAGAGAAGGAACUAGUAGUGUAGAAUUUCUUUAAUUUCUCCCCAAAAGUCAAAGAAAUACAGCAUGUUUGCCUGUUCACUUGCUCUAUCCUUUGGCAGUAAGGGAUAAACUUAAAAGGCUGGGUUUUUUUAAGGCUCUUGCUAUCAUUAAAGCACCAGUUUUCUGAGAUAGAACAACCUCUUUGAAGAUAUGGUAUUUACUGUUUUCUGAUGGUAUUAAUUGCAAGACCUGUAAGCUCACAUGAGCUUACUGGACACAGCCAGACACACACUACUAGGAGGAAUCUUUUUUUUAUUUUUUUAAGUUGAGACAUGUCUUAACCAUGUUUCCAUGACCAGUGGCCACGCAGGCAUUUUUAAAACAACCUCUGGUGUGUUCAGGUAUUCACUUUUUCUCGCUAGCCAGACUUCAGACAAUCACAGAAGUCUCUUGUUACUUUCAAGAAAACAAAAAUAUAUUUGCAGAGGAAAAAAGUAAAGCAGGGGAUACAUUUUAAAUCAUAUUAAAGUGUUGUGGUGGAGAGUCCUAGGCAUCAAGUUUGCCUGUUUUCCUUAGAAGAAAAAUAUCUAGUGGCUGCAGUACCUCAGUACCAGAAAGAAUAUCCUACAGAAGUGGUGUAAUAUGUUCUUCCAGGAGUUGAUACGAUGGAUAUAGAAUGGAGGCCUCUCUCCCACAGGCAGUGACUUUACAAGCAGUGUGAGAAGCACUGGCCUGACACAGAGUCAGCAGAUUUGUAGAGGAAUUGAGGUGUAAU